GACGAACGCUGGCGGCGUGCUUAACACAUGCAAGUCGAACGGAAAGGCCCUGCUUUUGUGGGGUGCUCGAGUGGCGAACGGGUGAGUAACACGUGAGUAACCUGCCCUUGACUUUGGGAUAACUUCAGGAAACUGGGGCUAAUACUGGAGAGGAGCUCCUGCUGCAUGGUGGGGGUUGGAAAGUUUCGGCGGUUGGGGAUGGACUCGCGGCUUAUCAGCUUGUUGGUGGGGUUGUUGCGUACGAAGGCUUUGACGGGUAGCCGGCCUGAGCGGGUGACCGGCCACAAUGGGCCUGAGAUACGGCACAGACUCCAACGGGCGGCAGCAGUGGAGAUUAUUGCAGAGUGGGCGGGAGCCUGAUGUGAAAACGCCGCGUGCGGGAAGACGUGCUGCGGGUUGUAAACCGCUUUCGCCUGAGACGAAGUGAGAGUGACGGUAAUGGGUAAAGAAGCACCGGCUAACUACGUG
This 468-nucleotide ribosomal RNA is filed under the name uncultured bacterium. Its description in RNAcentral is "partial 16S ribosomal RNA". It matches the Rfam family "Bacterial small subunit ribosomal RNA", at positions 28 to 507 of the family's 1533-position model. The record is from RNAcentral.